Molecule: transfer RNA, 77 nt
Filed under: Afipia clevelandensis ATCC 49720
Lineage: Bacteria; Pseudomonadati; Pseudomonadota; Alphaproteobacteria; Hyphomicrobiales; Nitrobacteraceae
Also listed under: 8 other names
Description: tRNA-Pro
Rfam family: tRNA
About the family: Transfer RNA (tRNA) molecules are approximately 80 nucleotides in length. Their secondary structure includes four short double-helical elements and three loops (D, anti-codon, and T loops). Further hydrogen bonds mediate the characteristic L-shaped molecular structure. tRNAs have two regions of fundamental functional importance: the anti-codon, which is responsible for specific mRNA codon recognition, and the 3' end, to which the tRNAs corresponding amino acid is attached (by aminoacyl-tRNA synthetases). tRNAs cope with the degeneracy of the genetic code in two manners: having more than one tRNA (with a specific anti-codon) for a particular amino acid; and 'wobble' base-pairing, i.e. permitting non-standard base-pairing at the 3rd anti-codon position.
Source: RNAcentral
CGGAGUAUAGCGCAGCCCGGUAGCGCACCUGCUUCGGGAGCAGGGGGUCGCAGGUUCAAAUCCUGCUACUCCGACCA